Molecule: small nuclear RNA, 74 nt
Organism: Cercocebus atys (sooty mangabey)
Lineage: Eukaryota; Metazoa; Chordata; Mammalia; Primates; Cercopithecidae
Source: Ensembl
GUGCUUGCUUCAGCGUCACAUAUACUAAAAUUGGAACAAUACAGAGAAGAUGAACAUGGCUCUUGCUCAAGGAU